UAGGGAAUCUUCCGCAAUGGACGCAAGUCUGACGGAGCAACGCCGCGUGAGUGAAGAAGGACUUCGGUUCGUAAAACUCUGUUGUUAGAGAAGAACAGCGCAUAGAGUAACUGUUAUGCGUGUGACGGUAUCUAACCAGAAAGCCACGGCUAACUACGUGCCAGCAGCCGCGGUAAUACGUAGGUGGCAAGCGUUGUCCGGAAUUAUUGGGCGUAAAGCGAGCGCAGGCGGUCAAUUAAGUCUGAUGUGAAAGCCCCCGGCUCAACCGGGGAGGGUCAUUGGAAACUGGUUGACUUGAGUGCAGAAGGGGAGAGUGGAAUUCCAUGUGUAGCGGUGAAAUGCGUAGAUAUAGGGAGGAACACCAGUGGCGAAGGCGACUCUCUGGGCUGUAACUGACGCUGAGGCUCGAAAGCGUGGGGAGCAAACAGG
Molecule: ribosomal RNA, 429 nt
Filed under: Bacteroidota bacterium
Lineage: Bacteria; Pseudomonadati; Bacteroidota
Description: Bacteroidetes bacterium partial 16S ribosomal RNA
Rfam family: Bacterial small subunit ribosomal RNA
Source: RNAcentral